UACGUAGGUGGCAAGCGUUGUCCGGAUUUAUUGGGUUUAAAGGGUGCGUAGGUGGCCCUGUAAGUCAGUGGUGAAAUAUCUCAGCUUAACUGAGAGGGUGCCAUUGAUACUGCAGGGCUUGAGUACAGAUGAGGUAGGCGGAAUUGACGGUGUAGCGGUGAAAUGCAUAGAUAUCGUCAAGAACACCGAUAGCGAAGGCAGCUUACCAAGCUGUAACUGGCACUGAGGCACGAAAGUGUGGGGAUCAAACAGG
Molecule: ribosomal RNA, 253 nt
Filed under: uncultured bacterium
Lineage: Bacteria
Description: partial 16S ribosomal RNA
Rfam family: Bacterial small subunit ribosomal RNA
Source: RNAcentral